This 368-nucleotide ribosomal RNA is filed under the name uncultured Thermus sp. Its description in RNAcentral is "bacterial SSU rRNA". It matches the Rfam family "Bacterial small subunit ribosomal RNA", at positions 1014 to 1382 of the family's 1533-position model. The record is from RNAcentral. Lineage: Bacteria; Thermotogati; Deinococcota; Deinococci; Thermales; Thermaceae.
GCCCGCGAGGGAGCCCUAGCACAGGUGCUGCAUGGCCGCCGUCAGCUCGUGCCGUGAGGUGUUGGGUUAAGUCCCGCAACGAGCGCAACCCCCGCCGUUAGUUGCCAGCGGUUCGGCCGGGCACUCUAACGGGACUGCCCGCGAAAGCGGGAGGAAGGAGGGGACGACGUCUGGUCAGCAUGGCCCUUACGGCCUGGGCGACACACGUGCUACAAUGCCCACUACAAAGCGAUGCCACCCGGCAACGGGGAGCUAAUCGCAAAAAGGUGGGCCCAGUUCGGAUUGGGGUCUGCAACCCGACCCCAUGAAGCCGGAAUCGCUAGUAAUCGCGGAUCAGCCAUGCCGCGGUGAAUACGUUCCCGGGCCUU